RNAcentral lists this transfer RNA (72 nucleotides) under bacterium. Its description in RNAcentral is "tRNA-Arg". It matches the Rfam family "tRNA". From Rfam's summary of the family: Transfer RNA (tRNA) molecules are approximately 80 nucleotides in length. Their secondary structure includes four short double-helical elements and three loops (D, anti-codon, and T loops). The record is from RNAcentral.
GCCCCUAUAGUUCAACGGAUAGAAUGCAAGCUUGCGGAGCUUGAAAUGUAGGUUCGAUUCCUACUGGGGGCA